UACAGAGGGAGCAAGCGUUGUUCGGAAUUACUGGGCGUAAAGGGCGCGUAGGCGGUUCGAUAAGUCCCGUGUGAAAUCCCUCGGCUCAACUGAGGAAUGGCACGGGAAACUGACGGGCUUGAGUUCGGGAGAGGGAAGCGGAAUUCCGGGUGUAGCGGUGAAAUGCGUAGAUAUCUGGAGGAACACCGGUGGCGAAGGCGGCAUCCUGGACCGACACUGACACUGAGGAGCGAAAGCCAGGGGAGCAAACGGG
RNAcentral lists this ribosomal RNA (253 nucleotides) under uncultured bacterium. Its description in RNAcentral is "partial 16S ribosomal RNA". It matches the Rfam family "Bacterial small subunit ribosomal RNA", at positions 524 to 776 of the family's 1533-position model. The record is from RNAcentral.